GAUGAACGCUGGCGGCGUGCCUAAUACAUGCAAGUCGAGCGAACGGACGAGAAGCUUGCUUCUCUGAUGUUAGCGGCGGACGGGUGAGUAACACGUGGAUCACCUACCUAUAAGACUGGGAUCACUUCGGGAAACCGGAGCUAAUACCGGAUAAUAUUUUGAACCGCAUGGUUCAAAAGUAAAAGACGGUCUUGCUGUCACUUAUAGAUGGAUCCGCGCUGCAUUAGCUAGUUGGUAGGGUAACGGCUUACCAAGGCAACGAUGCAUAGCCGACCUGAGAGGGUGAUCGGCGACACGGGAACGGAGACGCGGUCAUGACUCCUACGGGAGGCAGCAGAAGGGAAUGUUCGGCAGUGGGCGGAAGCAUGACGGAGCGGCGCCGAGUGAGUGAUGAAGGUCUUCGGAUCGUAAAACUCUGUUAUUAGGGAAGAACAUAUGUGGAAGGAACUGUGCACAGAGUGACGGUACCGAAUAAGAAAGCAACGGCUAACUACGUG
This 497-nucleotide ribosomal RNA is filed under the name uncultured bacterium. Its description in RNAcentral is "partial 16S ribosomal RNA". It matches the Rfam family "Bacterial small subunit ribosomal RNA", at positions 28 to 507 of the family's 1533-position model. The record is from RNAcentral.